This 478-nucleotide ribosomal RNA is filed under the name uncultured organism. Its description in RNAcentral is "partial 16S ribosomal RNA". It matches the Rfam family "Bacterial small subunit ribosomal RNA", at positions 331 to 800 of the family's 1533-position model. The record is from RNAcentral.
GUACACUCCUGCGGGAGGCAGCAGUGGGGAAUUUUGGACAAUGGGCGAAAGCCUGAUCCAGCAAUGCCGCGUGAGUGAAGAAGGCCUUCGGGUUGUAAAGCUCUUUUGUCAGGGAAGAAACGGUGAAAGCUAAUAUCUUUUGCUAAUGACGGUACCUGAAGAAUAAGCACCGGCUAACUACGUGCCAGCAGCCGCGGUAAUACGUAGGGUGCAAGCGUUAAUCGGAAUUACUGGGCGUAAAGCGUGCGCAGGCGGUUUUGUAAGUCUGAUGUGAAAUCCCCGGGCUCAACCUGGGAAUUGCAUUGGAGACUGCAAGGCUAGAAUCUGGCAGAGGGGGGUAGAAUUCCACGUGUAGCAGUGAAAUGCGUAGAUAUGUGGAGGAACACCGAUGGCGAAGGCAGCCCCCUGGGUCAAGAUUGACGCUCAUGCACGAAAGCGUGGGGAGCAAACAGGAUGAGAUACCCCUGUAGUCCCAUGA